RNAcentral lists this ribosomal RNA (446 nucleotides) under uncultured bacterium. Its description in RNAcentral is "partial 16S ribosomal RNA". It matches the Rfam family "Bacterial small subunit ribosomal RNA", at positions 338 to 795 of the family's 1533-position model. The record is from RNAcentral.
CCUACGGGUGGCAGCAGUCGAGAAUCAUUCACAAUGGGGGAAACCCUGAUGGUGCGACGCCGCGUGGGGGAAUGAAGGUCUUCGGAUUGUAAACCCCUGUCAUGUGGGCGCAAAUUAAAAAGAUAGUACCACAAGAGGAAGAGACGGCUAACUCUGUGCCAGCAGCCGCGGUAAUACAGAGGUCUCAAGCGUUGUUCGGCAUCACUGGGCGUAAGGCGUGCGUAGGCUGUUUCGUAAGUCGUGUGUGAAAGGCGCGGGCUCAACCCGCGGACGGCACAUGAUACUGCGAGACUAGAGUAAUGGAGGGGGAACCGGAAUUCUCGGUGUAGCAGUGAAAUGCGUAGAUAUCGAGAGGAACACUCGUGGCGAAGGCGGGUUCCUGGACAUUAACUGACGCUGAGGCACGAAGGCCAGGGGAGCGAAAGGGAUUAGAUACCCUUGUAGUC